AACGCGAAGAACCUUACCUGGGCUCGAAGCGCAGUGGAAUCCGGUGGAAACAUCGGCGCCCGCAAGGGCCGCUGCGGAGGUGCUGCAUGGCUGUCGUCAGCUCGUGUCGUGAGAUGUUGGGUUAAGUCCCGCAACGAGCGCAACCCUUAUCUCUAGUUGCCAUCGGGUCAAGCCGGGCACUCUAGCGAAACCGCCUGGGAUAACCAGGAGGAAGGUGGGGAUGACGUCAAGUCCUCAUGGCCUUUAUGUCCAGGGCUACACACGUGCUACAAUGGUCGGUACAAACCGUCGCAAACCUGCGAAGGGGAGCUAAUCGGAAAAAGCCGGCCUCAGUUCGGAUUGGAGUCUGCAACCCGACUCCAUGAAGCUGGAAUCGCUAGUAAUCGCAGAUCAGAACGCUGCGGUGAAUACGUUCCCGGGCCUUGUA
Molecule: ribosomal RNA, 427 nt
Filed under: uncultured Acidobacterium sp.
Lineage: Bacteria; Pseudomonadati; Acidobacteriota; Terriglobia; Terriglobales; Acidobacteriaceae
Description: bacterial SSU rRNA
Rfam family: Bacterial small subunit ribosomal RNA
Source: RNAcentral